UUUCUCAAUUCCAAGUGGCUUCUCGUUGUUUAGUCUACUCUUAUAUAAAACUGUAUGUGUUAAGCACAACACACAGUAAACCGCCAUGUUGCUAUUUCAGAGUGGACUGUACGGGUCCUCCUCUGACACUGCUCUCGAAUGUGCACUCUUAACAUUCAAGCAAGGAUUAUGCUCCAUCCCCAACCCGCUUCUCACUUAAUUGGCUUAGAUGAAUAUCUGAAGUGCUGAAGCUCGGUUUAAGCCAUGCAAUUAGUACAGUGCUGUAAUUGAAUUUUCAUGAAAGCCAUGGACGCUGAUUGUGUGCCACAAACAACCUUUAAAUCAUUGUCCAUACAUGACGGAUAUUUUGCAUACAGUCAAAUGUUUAUUUAUAGAAAAGAUGGAGCAAGUAAGAGGGAGUUGCUUGGCGAAAAUUGCCCGGAAUUCAAUAUGCUGUGCAAUUAUCAUGUUUAAUAGCCUGUAAAAUCCUAAUAUCUAUUCAGCCACUUGGAAAGGCACAAGAAAUGGUCUGACCAUUUAGCCCACUUUUCUCUGGCCCCUUCCUGGCCAUGACAGACGGCCCUGUCUGGAGAGCAGAAAGAAAUAAUAUGAGCCAUAUUUCAUUCAAAGGCCCUUUUCCGCGUAUCCUCAUUCUUUCUUUUUAACUGACUUUCCCUCCUUUUCCUUAUCUUCCCGAUUUCUCCAGAGCUGUAUUGGUGAUUACCUGUGUUGAAUCAGUUGAAAGGUAAAAUACUGCAUCCUGGAGGACGAAUGCAAUGUAAGGAGGUUGUUCUCCUGUUCUCUCCCUGCUCAGUCCUAUUCAUGUCAAGGGUUUGGAAUCUUCUGUAAGUCAAUUUUGGACAUGUUGAGCACAAUUUGACAUUGCCCAGUGUGCAAUGUUUUUGCAAAAUGCAAUAUAUGACUCUGAGAAGACCGUGAUAAUCCAGCGUAGACAAAUAAAAAACAAUUCCAAGGAAGGAAGUCGUUCAGACAUGACAAAGCAUUUUCUGCACCAUGGCACUGUGUAUAAAUGUUUUGCAGUGUUUAUGUGUCCCCCUCAUGAAGGAAGGAUUUUUUUCAAAUCAGCUAUUGGUAGCACAACAGCAUUUGCUUUUUUCUUAUUUACCAAAAUACAUGAAAGAACACCUUUUUCAUGAAAAUUGCUCGCUGGCAUGAAUAAUACACCAAUAAUCCCAACUAAAAGAACAUGGAUUGAUGAGCAGAGCUGGUGUCAGGAUCUCCUGCAUAUUAAAGACGAGAGAAGAGUGACAAAUGUGCAGUGGAAAACUGAAUACCGAAAACCGUCGCAAUUUAUUUGGUUUGACGUGCACAUUUUUUUCAUGCUGCUUUCUCUCCUUUUGAUCUUAAAGUAAAACUCCCCCCUUUUCCUCUCCCAUCACUUGUCGCCGGGAAACAUCAGAGACAGCGUAAUCUUGUGAGUCUGUGCGAUCUUGCGCAUGUGUGCGCAAGCGGAGCGUCUGUUGCACAUGCUUGUGCUUGCGUGUUGUCUGAUUUUUGCAGUGGCAGCAGGCAGCACCGAGGCCAAGCAGGCUACACCUACAGUUUUUGCAAUAAACCUGUCAGAAGCAUACCCAUCUUCAUCUCCUCGCUGUUAACUUUGUCAUCUGACAGUGCCUGUCAAAACUCUCCUCAGGAUUUCCUGAAGAAAAAAAGUCUCCACACAUCAACAACAGCAGGAGUAUCAGACAGAGGUAACAUGAACGGCUUCUUGUUCGCAUGGCUUGUGUAUGUUACAAGAUGUGCAGCAUUGCCGAUUGAUGAUACUUAAUUUAUUGGCCAUAAUAAGUGAUAUUUGAUCCACUACUUACUUAGUUUGUUAGUCACGUCCUUACAAUCACUCCCCUCUUGUGUCGCCCAGCUAACCGUCCUGCCUGUGUAGACUAGACUAGUGCUGUUUAUCUCCCCUUAAAUCUCUCCUUCAGGGGCAAACCAGUGAUUGCCCGCUACUAGCUGUGAAGGGAGGCACUAUUUCCUUAUUUGCUAUCCUCUCCACUAAGAGCCCCGCCACCACGGCCGCAAUCAUCCUCCCAAUGUGUCACAUCUGAAAAGAGCAGGGAGCACAUGCCACCUCUGCUGGAAGAUUUCCCCGUCCUGUGGCACCCUGAUAAGCUCUGACUUACUUCCACCAUGUGCAGGCACAUGGCUCGUAUUGCCUUUUGUAAUUACAUCUGCUUCGCUGCACUGUUUCUGCUCCCCUCACUCUCUCCCGCUUCCAAAUGGAAAGUAGAUUUGUGGGUGUGCGUGUGCACGAGUGAGCGAGUUUUCUUCUGGCACAUACAAAAGCAUGAGCAAGCAUAAUCCCUGCACACCAUCUUUGGGCACCGGCUAUUUCUCUUACAUCCAGGCAAACAACAUUAAAUGGAAGAAAGGCUUUUGUCCUCCCAAGUACAUGUAUAUUCUUUGUAUAUUCUCUCCAUCCAUUGCCACCCACCACCUGCUGUAAUAGAUCCCCUACCAUGGCACACACAAGCUAAUGGAUUCAGACGGAAGAAUUUGUUUGUCCAUUUUGCCAUUCUUAUAGAAAAUGGGAAUAUUACACAACCUUCACAGACUGUGGUGUGUGUGUGUGUAGACUUAAAACUAAAUAAAAUAAGAUUUGAGGAGACGGAAUAAAGUUUCAUUCUUUUAACUUUACUUAGAUCAUUUUUGUAUUGCAAGAUUGAGUUAUGUUAGUCCGCUCAGCUCUGCCGCUCUGGCUCACAUGGAGUAUUUUGGGCGGUUAGGAACACUGUUUCAUCGCUUGGAGUUCUGUAGCAAUGCUGGGCUUUAAACUCUCUCCAGCUACCAAGUGAAACACUUCAGUUACGCUCAGUAUUAGUCAAACACUUACCUGAGACAUUGAUCUCAAACUUGGCCUGUGUUGUAGCCCUGAUGGCCAAGGCUGACAGCACCCAAACUGUAUCUUAAGCCCCGUUUGGAUGGGAUUUGUUUUUUCUAGAGAAUGGUUGGGUAAUUUAAAUAUUGCUCACACUGAUGUGUAGUGAUUUUCUCCCCAUCCUUAGUGCAUAUUUAUGAGACGUUGGCUCCCAAACCCCAGUAUUAAUCACAGUCCCAAAUGCCGUUUUUAGUGUACUUGCUUGUCCAUUUCUUAAAAAGUGACUUCACAACAAGCAAAAAAAUUCAAACGUGGCUCAGAGUAAGCAGAAACCCCACUGGCCAUCUCCUCUGGUUGUGUAAUUGGCAGGAACCAAUUGCAGACAAAUGGCAAGGCAGAGAGAAAAAUAUUUAAAAUAGAUUUAGCGGACAAAGGAAAGCCUACACUCCCUGUCAGCAGGUAGGCUUUCUGGCAAAAAGGAAAUAAGCAGAUGACAAUGAAACUGAAACACAAAUGAGAAAAUCAGGAGCAGAAAUCGGGAGAUGUAAACAGACCGAAAGGCAAAGUCAAAGGGAAGCACAGACUAUAUUGAAGGGGAGACAAUUGGACACGUGACACAUUAGGGCAAAUGCAGACAACCACAGGAACUGGAAACAGAACAAAGACAGGAAGUAAACCAAGGAUAAGACACAAGGAAGGUAGCGUCAAAGUAAAACAGGAAAUCAUGACCUCAAGGUAAGCCAGUCCGGAAAAUUCCAAACAAGUCCAAACAAGCUUUCAAAGACGUUAUAUUUCAGUUUUUGUCCAGUAACAUCUGAACAUUGCUGCCCGGCUCAGUUGUGUUUUUUCUACCUCUCGCUAUCGUUAUUCAUCCGUUGUAGAAUCAUGCAUUUUCUAUGACACUUCAAAAGCUACCUUUCAUCCCACUCGUAAGGCCCCGCAUGUAUGGAACAUUAGUCAGUUUCUCUGAAACUUUCUUCUCCUUUUAUAUUCAGUCCUUUUGUGAAAGGCCUCGAGUGAAAGUGUUGAACCGUCGGACUGAAGAUGCUAUCAACGCUGAGGAAAGACAUCUCUCUCCCUGCAGCUGCCUGCCACUCAUAUCUCAGAAGGUUGAUUCCACAUCACCUGACGAAGAGCUUUUGCCUUGACAGCACCACUGACCCUGAGGAGAGAGAGAGCUAACCUCCUGCACAUGUGCUCACAACGCCACAAGCCUGGUCAUCUUCAGACGUGAAGAUGCCUCGGCUCACCAUUUAUCGACACAACAGACAUACCAAACCUCUGAGUGAUGUCUUGUGUCUGAUUGUGUGAGGAUCACGUCAAUCCUGAUGGACAAACAUGUUAAAAAGUGACACCAUCAUGAACAACCCCAUCCCUGUGCUUCUGCUCCCGGCCAUUUCCACCUCCCAGCUUCCCUGGAUUAGGUUUACAGCACCUCAUCCCAACUUCGACUUUUAUAAUUGGCUUUUUGUUGUUGUUGUUGUUGCUCUCCUCUCUUCACCUCCCUUUUUCCUCUCACCUAAAUCAAAGCUGAAAAUAGAAGAAUGGGCUAUAAUCUGCCUGUGAGGGUGAAAAGACACAAUGCAUGCUCACUGCAGAAUAUGGGUCGGUUUCCCCGUUUGCUUUUCUUUCUUUCAUUUGUUUUUGCAUGCUUUCCUCGUUUCACCCUUUACUUAGACGUCCAGCUGCAGUCUCUGUCACUGCCCUCUCUAUCCACGGAGCUGCGGUGGCUUUGUGAAGUCCAGGCACUGUUUGAUCUGAAGUCCAGAACACAUGAUGAGAGUUAUCCACUGGCAACAACAACAACAUCCCAUUAGGAGCUGCACAGAGCCUUGACAAACACUCUCGCCUCUUGCUACUGAUGCUGGCGAUUCUCUGUGCUGCUCCCCAGCUCAGGGUCAGCAUUACUGUCUCAGCAUCACUUGACACUGAAGCUUAGGCUACAUCCCCACUGCUACGUUUUCGUUUUGAAGCUGCAUUUUUAAAACUGAAACGAUCUCCAUCCAGACGCUAUUAAUACCCGUCCAUACUAACACACCUGAACACUUACAUCUUGUGACCACAAAAACAACAACAACAAAAGUGAAAGAGCAGGUCUUUCUCUUCUUGGUACAAUGAUGAACUGUUACUGGCAGUAAGUGUAAGUGUACAACAUUUUGUAUUCAAGUAGUCGAGUCAUGACUGAUGAGAACCAGUCAGGAAGUGACUGGGUCAUCGUUUCCAAACAUCUCCAUUUUCGCCUGUCCAACGCAACUCUUGAGUUUGUAACUUGUUUCACAUGUUCUUGUGCAAAUAUUUUAUUAUUUAAAUUUCACAGGCCUUAAUAUUCUUGUCGUCUUCAUAGCCACAUUUUAUUCAAUUUGAUCUUGUUAACUACAUUUCCUGUUAUGUGGUGUCUCCAGAGCAGCGGACGAGAGCUCAUCUCUGUUCAACUUCGCCGGAAAGACAAAUGUAAAUGGAGAAAUUAUUAUUUAAGCACAUUUUAUUGCUUAUAUUUACUACUCUAAAGACUCAUAAACUGUUUUCAGUCUGUGAUGUCUCUGAUUGAUAUUUAUUUGUUACACGCAUCAGAAACUCAACACUUUUUUGGGGAUUGAUUGCUGGUAAAUGUCAUUGUAUGUUAAUGUUAUGUGACGAGUGAGACUACUGUCUUAAAAGAGGACAUUUGUGUUCCUGAUAAUAACUUCACUGUGUCAGUCCUAUGAUUAGCUGUAAUUUAAUUACAUUUUUUUAUCAGGUAAUAAAUUUUGGUUUGAAUUACUA
Molecule: long non-coding RNA, 5578 nt
Organism: Scophthalmus maximus (turbot)
Lineage: Eukaryota; Metazoa; Chordata; Actinopteri; Pleuronectiformes; Scophthalmidae
Exons: 2
Source: RefSeq, a predicted model, not a curated record